Molecule: ribosomal RNA, 297 nt
Filed under: Triticum aestivum (bread wheat)
Lineage: Eukaryota; Viridiplantae; Streptophyta; Magnoliopsida; Poales; Poaceae
Description: partial small subunit ribosomal RNA
Source: RNAcentral
AUGAUGUUUGAGCAUGUACUUUUUUUGAGAGUCUAUUUAUUUUCGAUUGGUAUCUAUGGAUUGAUCACAAGCCGAAACAUGGUUAGAGCUCUAAUAUGUCUUAAACUUAUACUAAAUUCAAUUAAUCUAAAUCUCGUAACAUUUUCUAAUCUAUUUGAUAGUCGCCAAUUAAAAGAAGAUAUUUUCGCAAUUUUUGUUAUAGCCCUUGCGGCUGCUGAAGCCGCUAUUGGACUAUCCAUUCUUCCUUCCACCCAUCGUAAUAGGAAAUCCACUCGUAUCAAUCAAUCUAAUCUAUAA